UUAUGGCUCAGGACGAACGCUGGCGGCGUGCCUAAUACAUGCAAGUCGAACGGUCUUUCUAUGGAAGCUUGCUUCCACUGAGAAGAUAGUGGCGAACGGGUGAGUAACACGUGGGUAACCUGCCCAUAAGAGGGGGGAUAACAUCCGGAAACGGGUGCUAAUACCGCAUAGUUUUCUUGAUCGCAUGAUCGGGAAAGGAAAGACGGCCUUUGUGCUGUCGCUUAUGGAUGGACCCGCGGCGUAUUAGUUAGUUGGUGAGGUAACGGCUCACCAAGACGAUGAUACGUAGCCGACCUGAGAGGGUGAUCGGCCACAUUGGGACUGAGACACGGCCCAAACUCCUACGGGAGGCAGCAGUAGGGAAUCUUCCGCAAUGGACGAAAGUCUGACGGAGCAACGCCGCGUGAGUGAAGAAAGGUUUUCGGAUCGUAAAACUCUGUUGUCAGAGAAGAACAAGUUGGAGAGUAACUGCUCCAGCCUUGACGGUAUCUGACCAGAAAGCCACGGCUAACUACGUGCCAGCCGCCGC
This 529-nucleotide ribosomal RNA is filed under the name uncultured bacterium. RNAcentral describes it as "bacterial SSU rRNA". It matches the Rfam family "Bacterial small subunit ribosomal RNA", at positions 17 to 518 of the family's 1533-position model. The record is from RNAcentral.